AGAACGAACGCUGGCGGCAUGCCUUACACAUGCAAGUCGAACGCGAAAGCACUUUCGGGUGUUAGUAGAGUGGCAAACGGGUGAGUAACGCGUGGGAAUCUACCUUAUAGUACGGGAUAGCCUCGGGAAACUGGGAUUAAUACCGCAUACGCCCUUCGGGGGAAAGAUUUAUCGCUAUAAGAUGAGCCCGCGUAAGAUUAGCUAGUUGGUGGGGUAAUAGCCUACCAAGGCAACGAUCUUUAGCUGGUCUGAGAGGACGAUCAGCCACAUUGGGACUGAGACACGGCCCAAACUCCUACGGGAGGCAGCAGUGGGGAAUAUUGGACAAUGGGCGAAAGCCUGAUCCAGCAAUGCCGCGUGAAUGAUGAAGGCCUUAGGGUUGUAAAGUUCGUUUAGUGGGGAAGAUAAUGACGGUACCACAGAAAAGCACGGCUAACUCGUGCAGCAGCCGC
Molecule: ribosomal RNA, 452 nt
Filed under: uncultured bacterium
Lineage: Bacteria
Description: SSU rRNA
Rfam family: Bacterial small subunit ribosomal RNA
Source: RNAcentral